UCACUCAGCUCCAGGUGCCGAUGUCAUGCGUGCGGCUCGGCUCCAACACGCGCCGCCGCUCAGGAGCGGUGUCUCCCCUCCGCACCCUCCCGCUCUCCCCUCCAUCAGCUGCUCCACUAUGGGACCCGCCAUCGUCCGUCCGGCCCUCCUCGCCUGGUCCGGCGGCUUGCGCGCCCGGCCGUCCUCGCCUCGCCUGUUUGUCGAGCCCGGCCGUAGGGUAGAAGAAGGAGCUGAGAUGGGGCAGCCAUGCGGGAGGCCAUCGAGCUGCCGCUCCUGGUGCUCUGCCGGGGCAGGUGUAAGAAGGGCCCACUCUCGUUGUUGCCGAGUGAGUGAGUAAGCUCCCAAAUCCGCCGCCGCCGCCAGAUCCCGUCUCUGCCGUGGCCAUGCGCCGGUCUACCAUCGGAUCCCGUCCCUCCUCGAGUUCUGCCCCUGUCCGCCCGUCCUUGCCUUGGCCGCCCUCUUGUUCCCCUGCCCCGGCUAUCUGUCCGCCAAUUCAGUCCCUGCCGUGGCCAGGUCAAUUGUUCAGUUGUUAUGCCAUGCUUGUCACUCAAUUGCUUCAGGAAUUGUUCAGUUGCUAUGCUUGUCACUCAAUUUGCAGCAAUCUCUGAGACCAGGCCAACAAUAACUGUUCUGUCCGAAACUCUGCUUAGUGGUUACUGUCAAGCUGAUCUGAUGCCCAACUUGUAAUUCUUCUUCCUUUCAUGUUGCAGGAAGUUCUUAAAUGGAAAAAAACAUGGUGAUGUAUAAAUUGAAGAAAGACAUGGCUGCUUUGAAGCAGAUGGUGGUUAAAUUAUCAAGCUGGCGAAAGAUCAAGUUUGCUGAAAUACAAGACUCUUAUAAAUCAAGCACCGAAGGUUGCACUGCUCUGUGUCUCGAACAAUCCAAAGAGCCAUCCACCAAUGAGGGUCGUGGUGAAGAUGCUGCUGGAAGCCAAGGAAGAGGACAAGCCGAUGUUGAAGUUGGUACCUCCGGACAUCUGACCUGAAGCAAACCCGUCUGAAGAAUAAUGAAUAAAAGAUGUGUUUGCUCUUCUUGGAUAAUGUACUCCAUACCAAUUAACAUCAUAUCUAGUUCUGAUAGCAGCUAGCUAGUUCUGAAACAUCGUCAAAACUUGUAACUAUACUAGCCUUUUGCUCUGAAUGAAAAGUGUUGGUUGCUAUCAAUUUGUCCUA
Long non-coding RNA from Setaria italica (foxtail millet), 1172 nucleotides. RefSeq lists it as uncharacterized. NCBI's taxonomy places the organism in Eukaryota, Viridiplantae, Streptophyta, Magnoliopsida, Poales, Poaceae. The transcript has 2 exons. The record is from RefSeq and is a predicted model, not a curated record.